This 327-nucleotide ribosomal RNA is filed under the name uncultured eukaryote. RNAcentral's name for it is "partial 18S ribosomal RNA". It matches the Rfam family "Eukaryotic small subunit ribosomal RNA", at positions 1470 to 1796 of the family's 1831-position model. The record is from RNAcentral.
CCCUUAGAUGUUCUGGGCCGCACGCGCGCUACACUGACGAAUGCAACGAGCUUAUAACCUUGGCCGAAAGGUCUGGGUAAUCUCCAAAUUUCGUCGUGAUGGGGAUAGAUUAUUGCAAUUAUUAAUCUUCAACGAGGAAUGCCUAGUAAGCGCAAGUCAUCAGCUUGCGUUGAUUACGUCCCUGCCCUUUGUACACACCGCCCGUCGCUCCUACCGAUUGAAUGGUCCGGUGAAGCGUUCGGACCGUGGCCUUUGGACGGUUCGCCGUCUGUUGGCUGCGGGAAGUUCGUUAAACCUUAUCAUUUAGAGGAAGGGGAANUCGUAACA